Molecule: ribosomal RNA, 207 nt
Filed under: uncultured bacterium
Lineage: Bacteria
Description: partial 16S ribosomal RNA
Rfam family: Bacterial small subunit ribosomal RNA
Source: RNAcentral
CGCGCAGGUGGUUGAUUAAGUCUGAUGUGAAAGCCCACGGCUUAACCGUGGGGGGUCAUUGGAAACUGGUCGACUUGAGUGCAGAAGAGGAUAGUGGAAUUCCAAGUGUAGCGGUGAAAUGCGUAGAGAUUUGGAGGAACACCAGUGGCGAAGGCGACUGUCUGGUCUGUAACUGACACUGAGGCGCGAAAGCGUGGGGAGCAAACA